This 22-nucleotide small nuclear RNA is filed under the name Arabidopsis thaliana (thale cress). RNAcentral describes it as "snRNA_12281". The record is from RNAcentral. Lineage: Eukaryota; Viridiplantae; Streptophyta; Magnoliopsida; Brassicales; Brassicaceae.
ACAAUGUCUUUAUCCAAGAAGA